This 210-nucleotide ribosomal RNA is filed under the name uncultured bacterium. RNAcentral describes it as "partial 16S ribosomal RNA". It matches the Rfam family "Bacterial small subunit ribosomal RNA", at positions 568 to 774 of the family's 1533-position model. The record is from RNAcentral.
CUCGUAGGUGGCCAACUAAGUCGGACGUGAGAUCCCUCGGCUUAACCGGGGAACUGCGUCCGAUACUGGUUGGCUUGAGUUUGGGAGAGGGAUGCGGAAUUCCAGGUGUAGCGGUGAAAUGCGUAGAUAUCUGGAGGAACACCGGUGGCGAAGGCGGCAUCCUGGACCAAUACUGACGCUGAGGAGCGAAAGCCGAGGGGAAGGCAAACG